AAAUUGAAGAGUUUGAUCAUGGCUCAGAUUGAACGCUGGCGGCAGGCCUAACACAUGCAAGUCGAACGGUAACAGGAAGCAGCUUGCUGCUUUGCUGACGAGUGGCGGACGGGUGAGUAAUGUCUGGGAAACUGCCUGAUGGAGGGGGAUAACUACUGGAAACGGUGGCUAAUACCGCAUAACGUCGCAAGACCAAAGAGGGGGGACCUUCGGGCCUCUUGCCAUCAGAUGUGCCCAGAUGGGAUUAGCUUGUUGGUGAGGUAACGGCUCACCAAGGCGACGAUCCCUAGCUGGUCUGAGAGGAUGACCAGCCACACUGGAACUGAGACACGGUCCAGACUCCUACGGGAGGCAGCAGUGGGGAAUAUUGCACAAUGGGCGCAAGCCUGAUGCAGCCAUGCCGCGUGUAUGAAGAAGGCCUUCGGGUUGUAAAGUACUUUCAGCGGGGAGGAAGGGAGUAAGGUUAAUAACCUUAUUCAUUGACGUUACCCGCAGAAGAAGCACCGGCUAACUCCGUGCCAGCAGCCGCGGUAAUACGGAGGGUGCAAGCGUUAAUCGGAAUUACUGGGCGUAAAGCGCACGCAGGCGGUCUGUCAAGUCGGAUGUGAAAUCCCCGGGCUCAACCUGGGAACUGCAUUCGAAACUGGCAGGCUUGAGUCUUGUAGAGGGGGUAGGAAUUCYMGGUGUAGCGGUGAAAUGCGUAGACUGACGCUCAGGUGCGAAAGCGUGGGAGCAAACAGGAUUAGAUACCCUGGUAGUCCACGCGUAAACGAUGUCUACUUGGAGGUUGUGCCCUUGAGGCGUGGCUUCCGGAGCUAACGCGUUAAGUAGACCGCCUGGGGAGUACGGCCGCAAGGUUAAAACUCAAAUGAAUUGACGGGGGCCCGCACAAGCGGUGGAGCAUGUGGUUUAAUUCGAUGCAACGCGAAGAACCUUACCUGGUCUUGACAUCCACGGAAGUUUUCAGAGAUGAGAAUGUGCCUUCGGGAACCGUGAGACAGGUGCUGCAUGGCUGUCGUCAGCUCGUGUUGUGAAAUGUUGGGUUAAGUCCCGCAACGAGCGCAACCCUUAUCCUUUGUUGCCAGCGAUUAGGUCGGGAACUCAAAGGAGACUGCCAGUGAUAAACUGGAGGAAGGUGGGGAUGACGUCAAGUCAUCAUGGCCCUUACGACCAGGGCUACACACGUGCUACAAUGGCGCAUACAAAGAGAAGCGACCUCGCGAGAGCAAGCGGACCUCAUAAAGUGCGUCGUAGUCCGGAUUGGAGUCUGCAACUCGACUCCAUGAAGUCGGAAUCGCUAGUAAUCGUGGAUCAGAAUGCCACGGUGAAUACGUUCCCGGGCCUUGUACACACCGCCCGUCACACCAUGGGAGUGGGUUGCAAAAGAAGUAGGUAGCUUAACCUUCGGGAGGGCGCUUACCACUUUGUGAUUCAUGACUGGGGUGAAGUCGUAACAAGGUAACCGUAGGGGAACCUGCGGUUGGAUCACCUCCUUA
This 1496-nucleotide ribosomal RNA is filed under the name Salmonella enterica subsp. enterica serovar Heidelberg str. B182. RNAcentral describes it as "bacterial SSU rRNA". It matches the Rfam family "Bacterial small subunit ribosomal RNA". Lineage: Bacteria; Pseudomonadati; Pseudomonadota; Gammaproteobacteria; Enterobacterales; Enterobacteriaceae. The record is from RNAcentral.